UAGAUUUGAAAUUUGUUCAAACUCAUGAAUCAAGGGGAGUAGAGAGGUAAGGUGUACUUUACCUUUGUGUGAUGCUUUGCGGGUCAGACGACUCCCCCACACUUAUUCUUGUACAUGCAUUUUAUUUUGGGACAAAACAAAACAAAAAGGAACCUAGGAAGAUAAGGGUUUGUCUAGCCUAUUUGUUAUGAGAGUUGAU
RNAcentral lists this long non-coding RNA (199 nucleotides) under Setaria viridis. Its description in RNAcentral is "long non-coding RNA (SVIR_LNC010756)". The record is from RNAcentral. Lineage: Eukaryota; Viridiplantae; Streptophyta; Magnoliopsida; Poales; Poaceae.